This is a long non-coding RNA of Pteropus alecto (black flying fox), 4777 nucleotides long. RefSeq lists it as uncharacterized. The record is from RefSeq and is a predicted model, not a curated record. Lineage: Eukaryota; Metazoa; Chordata; Mammalia; Chiroptera; Pteropodidae. The transcript has 3 exons.
AGUUCUUAAUUCAUGCAUGUAUCUAGAAACUAUUGAGUGCCUACUACGUGCCAGACACUGUGCUAGGUAUUGGAGAUAUGGCCAUGAACAAAACAGGAGACACAAACAUUAUUCUGGCAUAAUCAGGCUGGAAAUAAAUGUUUGCUGUUGAUACUAGUUAUGAUAAUUCCCAGCCUUAAUUGUCUAGACGGAGUCAUAAAUAGUGAAGUUCUAGGCUGAAACUGACCUACUAAAUUGGAGUCCUGCGUGCUGCAACAUAGCCUUGCUGGGCUGGUCAUGGGUGGAGACCCAAGAUGACAGUGGAACAUUGAGGUAAGGCAAAUUCAGCAGGGAGGCAGAACAUAUUACACACUGAAACACAUCUUAAUCCUAGCUUGAAGUGGGAUUUCCAUUUAUCAUCUCCUUUACUUGUCACAAUGUACUUUGUGAGUAGAGAAAACAAACAAUAUCCCUAUUUUAUAGUUGGAAAACCAAAGCUCCAAAACAAAAUAAUUUACCUCAGGUAGUUUGUAUAGCCCGGGCUUACUUCCCUGAUCUCCUCAUUUCUCAGCCUCUGGCUCCAUUACUUGUCCCUCAGGCUAUCAGCAGAGAUGUACAACAUAUCUGAGUAGAACAGAGCCACAGCGACAGGCCUCAAAAACAAUGGUUGCUGCUUCUGCCAAAGGAUAAGGGAUAGAAAGGGUAACCCUUGAAGACCUCUCAGAAACACCUAACUAAAUGAUAACAAUUGGCAGUAGUGACCUCAGUGUGAAAGCAUCUUAUUUUCAGAAUGCAUAUCCCACAAAAAUUCAGAAAUACUCCUCAAAUGUGCUUACUCGUUUUUCUCCUAUGAAAAGAAUGAGGCCUGGCUGUCAUCUGCUAUGCAGCUUAAGGUAAAGAGUAAACUAGAAAGCCAUCUGAAACACAAUGGCAGUCCUGGGGUGGUGGGGAUAACAACAACAAAGACAAAACAAAGCAAAAAAUUACCCAAAGUAUGCAAACAGAGGAUGGGAAUGGUAAUAAAAUCCACAAUAGUAAUAGAGGGAUGAAUCCAAAUGGAAAAAUGGAAAAGAAGAGACUAAAUUCUUCUUACAUUUGAAAAACAAGAAAAAAAAAUUCUAAAAGUUAAAUAUUAAGCACAUUCAAUGACUCCUUAAUCCCUAAGGAGACCAGUGAUGUAAAUAAGGCAAACUCUGGAUUUAAGGGCAGAGCUGAAUUCCAAUACCAGUUCUGACACUUACUGGGUAGGUGUGUUAACUUGAGCAGGUUAGCCUUCUCCAGUCUCUUUUUUCUCCUCUGUCUUGCUCCCUGUGAGUCCAGUUGUCUGCUUCAUCGCUGAAGAAGAUGGAUGUGUCCACAGAUGGCUGAGAAAGGAAGAGUCUGGAGAGACGGGCUGUGGAACAGUGAGAAAACUUUUUGACUAGCAGAACACAUUUCCUUGAAGGACUUAGGAAUUUUGUUCUGCCGGCAAAAUUUUAAAGCAGUCAUCAUAAAAAUGCUUCAAUGAAAAAAAUGCUUCAAUGAGCAAUUACAAACAUGCUUGAAAUAAAUUAAAAAAUAAAGCCUCAGCAAAGAAUUAGAAGCCAUAAAGAAACUUAAAUUUUAGAACUUCAAAGUACAUUAACCGGAAUAAAAAACUCGAUGGACUCAACAGCCAAAUGGAGGGAUCAGGGCAAAGAAGCAGAAACUGAAAGAAAGAACAAUGGCAAUUACCCAGUUUUAACAACAAGAGAAAGACUAAAGUAAAAACGAUCAGAGACUCGGGAACCUGUAUGACUACAAUGAAAGAAGAGAAAGAAGUUGAGAGUGAAAAAGUGUUUGAAGAAAUAAUGGCUGGAAACUUUCUAAAUUUGGCAAAAGACACAAACUUACGGAUUUAAAAAGCUGAGUGAGUAUCAAACAGAAGGAACUCAAAAAAUAUCCAUGUCAAGACAUGUUAUAGUCAUACAUGUAAAAAUUAAAGAUGAAGAAAAAUCCCGAAAGCUGUGAGAGAAAACCAACACAUUAUCUACACAGGAAAAACUAUUCAAUGACUGAAUUUCUCAUCCCAAAUCACAGAGUCCAGAAAGAAGUGGCACAACCUUUUUUAAGUGAUGAAAGUAAAGAAUUAUCAACCCAGAAUUCUAGACCUGUAAAAAUAUCUUUCAGGAAUAAAGGGGAAAUCUAUGGAAAGGUAAAAGAACUAGGGUAGCUGAAACAAGUGUGAAAAAGAAAACACGUGUGAGGAAUCACUCUACCCAAUUUCAACACUUAUGUAGCUAUCGUAAUCGAGACGGGAUAUUUUUGGUCGAGGGACAGACACAUAGAUUAAAACAGAGACUGAGUCCAGAAAUAGAUCAUUCAAAGUUGCCCAACUGAUUUUUGACAGAGUUGAAAAAGCAGUUCAGUGGAGGAAUGAUAACCUUUUGGACAAAUGGUGCUAGAGCAAUUGUAAUCUAUAGACAAAGAAAUGAACCUCAACCUAAACUUCACACGUUAUACAAAAAUUAACUCAAAAUGAAUCAUAGAUUUAAAUGGAAAACAUACAACCACUAAUCUUAUAGAAGAGAACAUAGAGAACUUUUGUGUCCCGGGGUUGAGUGUUGUUCUUCAAUAUAAUGCUAAAAUCACGAUUCAAAAAGUGGAUAAAUUGGACUUCAUCAAAAUUAGAAACUUUUGCUUUGACAGUGACAUUCUUAAGGGAAAGAAAACACAAGAUACAGACUGGGAGAAAAUAUUUGCAAUCCACUUAUCUGACGAAGGACUAAUAUCUAGAAUAUAUAAAGACUUCUCAAAAGGCAACAACAAAGAAAAAAACAAUCCGAUUACAAAAUGGGCAAAAGUCAUGAACAGACAUUUCACCAAAGAGGAUACACGUGUGGAAAAUAAUGGCAUGAAAAUUUGUUCAACAUCAUUAGCUGUUAUGAAAAUCGUUAUGAAAACCACAAUGAGAUAUCACUACACAAAAUGGCUCAAAUAAAUAGCGACAAUACCAAACGCUGACAAGAAUGCGAAGAAACCGGAUCUCUCUUCCAUUUGUUGCUGGUGGGAGUGUAAAAUAGUACAGCCACUCUUGAAAAUGGUUUGGCAGGUUUUUAUAACCUAAACAUACAACUACCACAUAAGCCAGCAAUUCCACUCUGAGGCAUUUGUCACAGGGAAAUGAAAACUUAUAUUCACACAAAAGCCUGUAUAUGAAUGUUCAAAGAAAAUGUAUUUAUAACAGGCAAAACUAGAAACAGCCUAGAUGCCCUUCAGUAGGUGACCGGUUAAACAAACUGUGGUACAUCCAUCUAUUUACUCACCAUCUAUUUGGUGUCAGGACUCUACCAGGUGCUUAAAUACAUUUGUGACUUAAAUCUUGGAAGGUAAAUAUUAUUAUCCUAACUUUGUAGAUAAGAAAAUUGAGUUUUAGAGAGAUUAAAUGGCUUACUCAAGGUUAUUCAGGGCAAAGACUGGAAUUUGCAACCAGGGGUUUUUGUAUUCCAAAGCUCAUUACCUUUCCAGUGCAGAGGUUGUCAUGAAAAUUAGGUGAGGAGAUUCUGUGCAUUUGCUAUUCUUUGUAAUCUGGAAGGAUGUAACUAAUGGUGUUAUAUCCCGUCUAAGGAGUGGUUCUGUCAGCAGACCUUUAGCCCAAAGCGAUUUCCUAACAGACACCUUUUCAGUAGUUCACAUCCAUUGCCUUUAACCAGGCAUCUGCAAGGUCAUGUCAGAGCAUUUGAUGAGUCUUACUUCUUCAAGAAAGAGGGUGAACCCAAAAUAAACUUUCCUCUGUUGACUCAUUUCACAUGUAGGAACUAACGCUUGUUCUUUGUCAUAAUUAAGUUUGCAGCUAGGGAGCCUAAAACACUCAAUUACUCAGAGAGCUUCCUGAAAUGACUUUGUUUUACAAUGUGUAUCCCUGCUCUUCAGACUCAACUAAACUGUAACCUUCGAUGUCCACAAUUAUCCCACAGGAGUGGCUGAAAAUGUUGAUGCAUCAUCAUGUUUUGGUGCAGAAGGAAUCAGUAUUUGAUUGGAAUAAUCACCUCAUUUUGUAGAGAGUGGGAGUGUCUUGUCUGAGUCACAUGCAUGUGGUUAAAAUUAAAGCAUAAGCCUUAGAUUUCUCAUGAAGUUCAGACCUGAGUGUCACCAACACUUUUUUCUACACUCCAUACUUUGAGCGCUAGUUGCUAUGGGUUCCAGGUUUUACAAGAGUAGUUCGUGUUUUGUGAAUCGAUCAUCGACAAAAUAUCAUAAUUUAUUUAAAAACAAAAACGCAAAACCCCAAGGUCCUCAGAUUUAGAAUGGAAACUACUAAGUAAAAUGAAGAUACCUUGUGAUUAGAUGAUUAGAUGAUUCUAGAAAUUGCAAACAUGGUAUAGCUGGAAAAGCCCAAGAAUUGGCACUAGCGGUCUUGGGUUAGAUGACUUGCUGUGCUGUCAAAAUGGCCUUUUAUCGUUAGCUAUGCCUCUUGAUUUAGAUUCCUCCAACAAACUCUCGCUUGGUGCCUGCUUUAUAUAUACCUUGCAUCUUGUUUGGCUCUGGAGAUUCAAUGAUGACCAAAAUAAUAACAAUGCCCGCCUUUACCUAAAUCACAGUGUUGGUGCAUGAGAGAAAUGAGAUGGUAGAUGAGAAAGCUCUUUGUAAACUGUACAAUUCUAUAAAAAUUAGACAUAACCGAAUACCAUUUCCAGUUGCAAGUGUACGUGGUCUCACAAGUGGAGCUUUGAAGGCAAUGAACAUUCCCUGAGCAUAAACGGAAAAUACAUUUAUGUUGUGAGAUUGUGAAGCCUAGAAAUUGAAAUUGGACAGAAUGCUUAAUAAUAAACAAUUGUAA